Molecule: long non-coding RNA, 2466 nt
Organism: Astyanax mexicanus (Mexican tetra)
Lineage: Eukaryota; Metazoa; Chordata; Actinopteri; Characiformes; Acestrorhamphidae
Exons: 3
Source: RefSeq, a predicted model, not a curated record
CCUGGAAUUCAGGCUUUCAGUUAACAGCUGUGCUGAACUCAUCAAGAGUUAAUUACUUGAGUUUCUUGUCUCUUAAUGUUGAUGUUUGAGAGCAUCAGUUAAAGUAAAGUAGUGAAGAGGUAGAGUUACAGGUAUACAGUGAAUAGUGAAUAUUUCAGUAAUGUUCUAAUCCAGAUUAUGAGAAGAAACAACUACUCAACUAAAUAAAGACAAAAAGCAAUGUUAUGAUGGAACUGGCACUCGUCAGGAACAUACCAGGAAAGGAAGAGCAAGAGUUUCCUUUGUUGUACUGGGUAGGUUCAUCAGAGUUACCAGCCUCAGAAACCGCAAGUUAACAAACAGCUCCCCAGAUAAGAGCGCCUAUAAAUACUUCUUCACAGAGUAUUUAGGUUUGUUUAACACUGUUUUUAAGUUACUGCAUGGUUCCUUAUGUGUUCCUUCAUAAUCUGAUAGAUCACUUCACUGUUCAUUUACUAUGUAGGAAAAAGAUGAAUAAAUAAAAACAUUGAAGGAGAAGGUGUGUUCAAACCUUGACUGGUACUGUAUUUAAAAAAAUAAACUACUGACUCUUACAGUCUGCAGUUUAAAUUAUGGAAUUCUGGACACAUUUUAAUGGUUUUGUUUUUAUUAAUGUGUAUGUGUUUUCCAUUGAUUUUCCAUUCAAUUGAUGCUAAAUGUAAUGUGUUUUUAUAAUUUGUAUACUUUUUCUAAUUUUUAAUGAUUAGGUAAGUCUGUGACUGUUCUUGCUGAAACUCCUCCUCUCCUGCUGAGCAGUUCAGCACUAGUGAACUGUUAUUCUACUGUUAAUAAUGGGUACUGGGCCAAAUCUGCUGAAGUGUACAGAGUUCUGAGCCCAUGCCCGCUGAGCACAGGAACAGCGGCGGUGGCAGGAAAUGCUUGCUGUGAUGUGAUAAGGAGGAUGCCUCUGGAAUAGCUGAGGCUCGCCCUCCUCGCACCCGGGCGAGUCAGCUGGCUUGUCAGGAGAGGCUGUAACUCUUGAUUUAUAACCAGCAGAAAUCACAAUUUAACACUCAUUAAACUGAGGCAAUAUCACUCUCUCUCUCACACACACACACACACACACACACAGAUAAAACCGCACACACACUCACGCAGCGUCAUUUUUUGACACUCCCCAACUGACAGCUUUAGAAUGUGUUGAUGUGUUACAGUGGAUAUCUGUUUAUUGUCUACACAGUACCAUAAGUCAUGGGACAUCAACAUAUAUAAAUUGAUAAUCAAGUGUUAGAGUGAGGUCUGUUAAAAGUGGGUGCAUGUGAAUUAUGGGAGUUGUAGUGAGGGCUAAUAAUAGUGGGUGCAGGUGAAUUAUGGGAGUUGUAGUGAGGGGCUGAUAAUAGUGGGUGCAGGUGAAUUAUGGGAGUUGUAGUGAGGGCUGAUAAUAGUGGGUGCAGGUGAAUUGUGGGAGUUGUAGUGAGGGGCUGAUAAUAGUGGGUGCAGGUGAAUUAUGGGAGUUGUAGUGAGGGCUGAUAGUGAAUGCAGGUGAAUUAUGAGAGUUGAAAUGGGGGCUGAUCAAAGUGGGUGCAGGUGAAUUAUGGGAGUUGUUGUGAGGGCUGAUAAUAGUGGGUGCAGGUGAAUUAUGGGAGUUGUAGUGAGGGCUGAUAAUAGUGGGCGCAUGGUGAAUUAUGGGAGUUGUAGUGAGGGCUUAUAAUAGUGGGCGCAGGUGAAUUAUGGGAGUUGUAGUGAGGGGCUGAUAAUAGUGGGUGCAGGUGAAUUAUGGGAGUAGGAAUGAGCUCCCAACAGGCUUACAAUGCAAGUGAUAGAGGCAAAGAAUUGCCCAUGAAAAUAAAUGGCUAAUUUUACACCAUUAAUAAGCUCAAAGUAGCUUCACACUUCAUCAGUAGAAUUCUGAAGGCCCAGAUAUUUAAAAUGAGGCACUAAGAACUCUGUAAACACUUCAGGUAGUUCUCCAAGCCCCAUAGCCAUUAUAGCCAUUCUUUGCAUGUCCAGCACUAUGUCCUGCUGAGAGAAUUGUGUAAAAACGCUGUAUUUUGGAAUGCUGGGGGUGAACAGAGGUGGGAUCAUUGACAAAAGUUCAUACACCUUUAUUUAAGAAGAAAUAAAAUAAUUCAAAAUAAAAAAUGAAAAGGGGACACACUAAUAUUUAAAGCAGUCAAAUGAAGAGAUAAAUAAUUAGAAUAAUAAAGAGUAAUAAAAGUAAAAAAAAAGGAUAGAAGAGAAAAAAAAUCUAAAUAAGAUAAAGAUUUAUAUAAAAAAAGAAAAAUGUAAAAAUUAAAUAAAAUCUGUUAAAAUAUAAAUAAAUAAGUUAUUGUUGUUUACAAUCCAGUAUCAGUAUAAUGAAAAUGUUUAAAUUAGAUUCAAUUAUACUCCAUGGUGACACUAGUAGCCUCAGCCUGAUCUGCUGUAAGUCUCUGUUGAGCUGUUAAACUGGUGUUGUGUAUGUUUUAAAGUUUAUGAGUUAAUAUGGAGCAGUUGUAUUGAUAAUAU